RNAcentral lists this transfer RNA (70 nucleotides) under Betta apollon. Its description in RNAcentral is "tRNA-Tyr". It matches the Rfam family "tRNA". From Rfam's summary of the family: Transfer RNA (tRNA) molecules are approximately 80 nucleotides in length. Their secondary structure includes four short double-helical elements and three loops (D, anti-codon, and T loops). The record is from RNAcentral. Lineage: Eukaryota; Metazoa; Chordata; Actinopteri; Anabantiformes; Osphronemidae.
GGUAGGAUGACCGAGACUUAGGUGGUGGGUUGUAGCCCCACAAACAGAGGUUCAAAUCCUCUUCCUACCA